RNAcentral lists this ribosomal RNA (487 nucleotides) under uncultured bacterium. Its description in RNAcentral is "bacterial SSU rRNA". It matches the Rfam family "Bacterial small subunit ribosomal RNA", at positions 28 to 497 of the family's 1533-position model. The record is from RNAcentral.
GAUGAACGCUAGCGGCAGGCUUAAUACAUGCAAGUCGAGGGGCAUCAAGGUACACGAAAGUGUAUUGUUGGCGACCGGCGGACGGGUGAGUAAUAGGUAGGUAACCUACCUCAUACUGAGGCAUAGCUGGGAGAAAUUCCAGGUAAUUCCUCAUGAGGUUAUAUGACACAUGUGAUAUAAUCAAAGGUAUCGCAAGGUACUGGUAUGAGAUGGGCUUACUGACCAUUAGCUAGUUGGUGAGAUAAGAGCUCACCAAGGCGAAGAUGGUUAGGGGUUUUGAGAGAGAGAUCCCCCAAUUGGAACUGAGAUACGGUCCAGACUCCUACGGGAGGCAGCAGUAGGGAAUAUUGGGCAAUGGGCGGAAGCCUGACCCAGCCAUGCCGCGUGAAGGAAGACGGCCUUAAUCGGGUUGUAAACUUCUUUACUAUGCGACUAACUAGAUUUACGAGAUAAUUCUAUAGAAUGUAGCAUAGACAAAAGCACCGGA